UACGUAGGUUGCAAGCGUUGUCCGGAAUUAUUGGGCGUAAAGCGCGCGCAGGCGGUCUUUUACGUCUGAUGUGAAAGCCCCCGGCUCAACCGGGGAGGGUCAUUGGAAACUGGGAGACUUGAGUGCAGAAGAGAAGAGUGGAAUUCCACGUGUAGCGGUGAAAUGCGUAGAGAUGUGGAGGAACACCAGUGGCGAAGGCGACUCUUUGGACAGAGUCUGACGCUGAGGCGCGAAAGCUAGGGGAGCAAACAGG
This 253-nucleotide ribosomal RNA is filed under the name uncultured bacterium. Its description in RNAcentral is "partial 16S ribosomal RNA". It matches the Rfam family "Bacterial small subunit ribosomal RNA", at positions 524 to 776 of the family's 1533-position model. The record is from RNAcentral.